CUCUGAACUCCAUGUGCUUCAGUUAACCCUUUCCCAAUGCGGUUCUCCGAUCAUUUUGUUUUAAAAACUAAUGUUUUCAUGAUGGAGACUGCUAGGUCACAUUCCCCAGGUAAAGAUAUUCAAAUUAUAGAAACCAGCCAAAGGUUUCCAUGAGGAAGGAUAUACUGAUUUUGGACUUAGACUUUUUCAAAUCCUUUUUUUUAACUUGAUAUAACAAGAGAGGAGAUCACACUUCUGAGAGGCAGGCUCACAUGCUUCAUGUGAAAGCACUUUGUACACAGUAAGUUGCUACCCAGUGUCAGCUAUUAUGCAUGGUACAGGACCAUACUUCUCAACUACAGUGUGUACACCCCUGGGACAUGAAGCCACCAAAUCAAUUGUCUGCAUUUUCUUUGGGUAUACAUUUUACCCUAUAGCAAAUACUUUAAAAUAUGUUUUAAGUAAACAGAUAUCAUGGAGUAAAAUGUAAAUUUUAUAUUUAUGUGAUAAAAGGUGUCUUAAUUUUCUUAUAUAUAAAUUGUUAUUGAUAUGUGAAUGUUAGCACGUAAUAGGGUUGUAGGAGGGUUGCAUUCUUAUAGAUAAGUAGGGAAACAUGCUGAGUUGACUGUGUUUAGCAUAUAAUAGAUGCUCAGGAAAUGCAAAUUUCCUUCUUUUCUUUCACUGGUAAGACAGGGGCGUUCAUGUAGUUUAAUCAUUUUAAGUAUUUGAAAUGUGUUCCUUAUUUUGAAAAUGUCCCUUAAAAUACUUUAUAAAUACUUUCAAUUUUUGCUUAUAAAUUCUACAUGUAUAAAUAGGGUUUCUCUAGCUAUCACCUGUCUAUAGGAAAAAAUAAUAAGUUCAUAUUAAAAGUAAUAACUCAGAAUUCAUUAACAUUGUCUCUAUCAAUGGGAGCCUCCCCUAAAAGUCACAGUUGGUUAUCUUCAGCUCAUAAACAUCCUUUCUUGUUCUUGGCUCAAGUCCUCUACCAUAUAGGUUGCUACUUUUAAAGUAAAAUUACUAAAUACUGGUAAUUUUGAGCACCUGUUCAUAUGUGUGUUGGACAUUUGAGUAACGUGGUUAUUCAUACCUAUUGUCCAUUUUUCACAUGGGCUGUACAAAUGGGACAAUAUGUAGUUCUACACACAUUCUGAAUUAUAUACAUUGCCUAUGUUUUCUUUCAGGAUUUGGAAGUAUUAUGUUUAAUUUUUCUUUUUUAUAAAGAAAUUUAGAGUUUACAUGCAAUCAAAUUUAAUAAACUUUCCCUUCCUGACUUGCACCUUUUGUGCUUAAGACACCUUCCCCUACCUCAACAUAUUGAGAUUAUCCUGUUUUCUUCUAAUGGGUUACUGGUCACAUUAGGUCUUCAAUGUGCUACACACUUUAAAUAAUCAGAUCUCUGUGACUCAGAGGAGAACUCACUCAUCAACCAGGGGAUGGCACUGAGCCAUUCAUGAGGGAUCCACCCCCAUGAGCCAAGCACUUCCCGUCAAGCCCCACCUCCAACACUGGGAAUCACAUUUCAGCAUGAGAUUUGGGGAAAAUAAAUAUCCAAACCAUAUGAUUCCAAAAACAUGAUCCAUGAAAGAAGAAAUUGAAAAAUUGAGCUUUAUCUACUGUAUACAUGUCAAAAAAUUUAAAUUGCACAUGUGAAAUAUGUGCAUUGUGUUGUAUGUCAGUUAUGCCUGAAUAACUCUGUUUUAAAAAUAACAGGAAAAUGGAUCCCAUUUUCUAAGAAUUCUGGAGGUGGUUGUAUACCCUCUGAAGAUGUCUUUCCCAGGAAGAAGGACUAUCUUGCUUAAAAAGUUAUUUCUUAUAUUUCACCAAAAUCUCUUUUACUGUACUGUAAACAUUUUAUUUUCCCUUUAAAAAAUAGUAACAGCUCACCUUGCUUCAUUUUGAAUGUUGAAUCACUUUUGGUGGUAUAAUCUUACAUAGUUUGGAUCCCUUAUAAGCUGAAAAGUCGUGAGAUGGAGAGUAAAUAUAAGGAGAUACUCUUGCUAACCAGCCUGGAUAACAUCACCGAUGAGGAACUGGAUAGGUUUAAGUGCUUUCUUCCAGAUGAGUUUAAUAUUGCCACAGGCAAACUGCAUACUCUAAACAGCACGAGUAGCCAACUUGAUUUAAAACGCUGGCAUGGUGUCUGCAGUGAGGAAGACCGUAUUUUUCAGAAGCUGAAUUAUAUGCUUGUGGCAAAAUGUCUUCGGGAAGAGCAGGAAACAGGUAUAUGUGGGAGUCCCUCAUCUGCCCGGUCCGUUUCUCAGUCAAGACUUGGUCUUUCCUUUCAUGGCAUUUCUGGGAAUGCAUGUUGAUGAGGGAAACGGGAUGACACUAAGCUAUUCAUGAGGGAUCCACCCCCCGUGAUCCAGACACCUCCCAUCAGGCCCCACCUCCAACACUAGGGAUUGCAUUUCAGCAUGAAAGUCCCCCAGGGAAGGCUGCUGGAAUUUGUUUGCUAACUUACUACACCAGCCUCGUUGCCCCCUUUUACUGAGAAAUCACUCCUAGGAAGUGUUUGUUACAAAUUCCACAAAUCCAUCCCAGCCUUUGUUUGCAUCUCUUGUUCCAGCCCUUAGGGCUGCCACUUCCAUUUGUCAUAUUUUCACUUCUCCAGUUCAAUUGCAGCGAACAUGAACAUGGAAUUUCAAUCUUAACUUCUCAAAACCUCAUUUACAUGUUUACCAAAGAUUUUAAGAUAAAGGAAAGAAAUCAUAGCACUGGAAAAAAAAUAAACUGGGAUACUAGGUCGUUUUGUUCUUCCACACAGCCUGCUCAUUCUUCUCCCUGUCCCCGGCCUGCUGUGGUCCCAGACGAUCCUUUCUUCUUCAAGGGAGUCUUGUAUUCAUACAUCCGCUCUUUCAAAUUCAAAUAUUAUUUAUCCUUCUCUCUAUUUCCUUCCACUAAUGACAACAAACUACCCGCACACAAAAACUGUUUUUAUAUUAUUGGACAAAUCAUUGAAUGUCUCCAUCUUAUCUGCAUUUUGUUUACAUUUCUGAUCUUUUUCUCUAUAAUUAAUAUAUCCUUUAUUUAUGUCUGUAUAAUUAAAAUUGACCAACAAAGGAGCAUCUCACACUAGGAUCCCCCAAAAUGAGAGCCUCCAAAUGUAACAAUUUAGAGAUUUUUAAGUUCAACUCUAACAGCAAAACUUAUACGACAUCUUUUACUCCGUGUGUGUGUGCGCGCGCACGCACGCAGGCACGCAACAUGGAUAACAUGGUUUCUAUGUUUACAUGAUUUCUAUGAAGUCGAGAUGAAACCAUGUAAGUGAUAAUAUAAGCCACAGAUCUAUACAGAUAUAAACUGUUAGGCAAUAUUUAAGGCGCUUUAGCGAAAGGGCUUGUUGUCUUAUGCAUUAUAUUUUUCUAGGUUAUUCAAAGUCAGAAAGUGUAGUGCUUAGGUAUUGCCACAAGGUGGCAGUAACUUCACAUAAUGUGCGGAAGCAACUAACCGACCUGCAGAAAUCAAUUAAGUUCCUUUACAGCUCUAAAUUUCUAUUCUAGAUCACGCCUAGGCCUACUUUGAAAGUAGCAAAUUUAUUUAUUUGUGCCCCAUGCUACCCUUAACUGUCCCUGGAGGAAACCAGUUUUUUGUUGUGUUUUCUGUAGGUUUCAAUUUUCAUUCCUUCUUGAAAGUUCUUUCUGCAUAACCAGUGCUAUGCCUGCAUGUGGAGCACUAUACAGUAUUCUACCCACGAUCUCACCUCAUGGAAGAUAGAGGAGAUCUGGAGAAAUCUUUAAUGAAGACGGUUAAUAAUCAUUUUAUGGGAAAGAUCAGUAGAUGGAAAGAGAGAUGACAAAGUAUGAGGACACUUAAGCCUGGAAAAAGGAAGCUGAGAGAGCUUGUGAUCAAAUUCUGUAAAAGUCCUGCAAGAUUAAAAUAGAAAGUUGAAAAUGAUAAAUGAAAUAAUAAGUGAGAAUUCUGCAUCUGAUUAUUAAUGAAAAAGAGAUUUACAGUGGGCAGACAUACUCGUCCACAAAUAUCGGUACCACUGUGUGGGAGAUGAAAUAUGACUGAUGUGAUGUGGUAGAAUGAUAGGCUGAUUCCCUUGGCCUCCCUUCACUCUGUUUUUUCUCGUAUACUCUCAACACAGAAGGGAAACUUUAUCUUCAUACCUCUCUGAAACCAGUUUCAUGAAACUAAGCUACCUUUGAAAGUUAGUUUUACUACUUCUUAGAGUAGACAUUCCUUUACACUAACCCUGACAGAGUCCAUGACUUUCUAUUGUUUGAAAUGUAGUGACAUAUUGUUAGAUAUAUAGUUUACAAAUAUUUUAUCCCAUUCUGUAAGCUGUCCCUUCAUUCUGUUGAUUGUAUACUGUGCAGAAGUUUUUAAGUUUGAUGUAAUCUCAUUUAUCCAUUUGUGCUUUUGCUGCCUGUGCUUUCGAGGUCUUAUUCAAACAAUUCUUACACAUACCAAUGUCCUAAGGCAUUUUCUCUGUGUUUUCUUCUAGUAGUUUCAUAGUUCUGGAUCUUACCUUUAAGUCUUUAAUUCAUUUUGAGUGACUUUCACAUGUUGUGAAACAUAAGAGUCUAAUUUUAUUCUUCUUCAUGUGAUUAUUCAAAACAUAUAAGGAAUUCAAAGAACUCAAUACUUGGUAUAAAAUAAACAAAAACAAAAUAAAAUAACCUGAUUACAAAGUAGAUAAAAGCCUGAAUAGACAUUUCUGAAACGAAGUCAUACAAAUGGCCACCAGGUAUAUGAAAAAUUCUCCACAUCACCAAACAUUGAGUAAUGCAAAGCAAGGCCAUAAUGAGAUUUCACCUCAUCCCAGUUUGAACGGCUAUUAUCAAAAAGACAAGAGAUAACAAAUGUCAGCAAGGAUGUGGAGAAAAAGGAGCUCCUUACACUGUUGGUGAGAAUGUAAACUCAUAAAGCCAUUAUGGGAAAUAGUAUGGAGGCGCCUCAAAAAAUUAAAAAGAGAAAUACCAUAUGAUGUAGCAGUCCCACUUCUUAUAGUAAGAAGAAUGAAAUGAGUAUGUUGAAGAGCUCUCUACACUCUCGUAUUUAUUGCAGCACGAUUCACGGUUAUGAAUGGCACUAUUCACAAUUCACAUUGAUUGAUGUGGAUUCAGCCUAAGUGUCCACUAGUGGAUGAAUGGAUAAAGAAAAUGUGAAGGCACAUGCUGACAAACAUACAGAUGCACUUAAAUUUAUACUAAAAAUCACUGGACUGCGUUGCUAACUUCCAUUAGGGAAGAAUGUAGAACAGACCAUGGGAUUCUUUCAUUGCCAGGUUCAUGUGACCCUUUCCAUAUGGUCAACACCAGACCAGAAAUUUAAUCAGUUCCAGCCCAAGUGCCAUCACCAAAAUGUGAGAAGGCUGCCCACUGCUCAAAGGUUUUCAAUUAAGAUAGGUACUCCUGGCUGGGUGCGGUGGCUGAGGCCUGUAAUCCCAGAACUUUGGGAGGCCAAGGCGGGUGAUCACGAGGUCAGGAGAUCGAGACCAUCCUGGCUAACACAGUGAAACCCCGUCUCUACUAAAAAUACAAAAAAAAAAAAAAAAAAAAAAAAAUUAGCCGGCCAUGGUGGCCGGUGCCUGUAGUCCCAGCUACUCGGGAGGCUGAGGCAGCAGAAUGGCGUGAACCCAGGAGGUGGAGCUUGCAGUGAGCUGAGAUCGCACCACUGCACUCCAGCCUGGGCGACAGAGCGAGACUCUGUCUCAAACAAACAAACAAACAAAAAGAUAGGUACUCUUUUUUUGAACAUGUGACAUGGGUGUAGACAACUGUGUUUCAGUUUGACUGGGAAGAUAAAAGUGUUUUCUUUAUAGAGGAAGAAAGCCCAGGUCUGUGCCCUCAGGGCAGGCUGGGGAAAUUGAAAGUGUGGUUUGGGUAAGACGGUACCUGGUAGAAAGGACAUCCAUGCAGAAUCAGUGCACAUUGAGUGCAAAAGGUGGCUUUGGUGGCUAGACAAAUGGCCCUUUGUAAGGAAGGCUAUGCACACUGGUGUCAGCAGCUCUGGCCAGUUCUAGUUGAAUCUACAGAACCUGACAGGGCAUGAUUGAUGAACCCCUAAGUUAGAAACACCUGGGUCCAGGUAACUGAGGACUGUUCCACACAUACAAAAAGCAUGGAGAAAGACGUGUGGCUUAUCAAUGAAAAGUAAAAUGUUAAGCCCUUCACUGACUGAACAGAUCCCUUCUUGGCCAAGGGGACCCCAGGAAAACCUUAAAACUGAGUUUCUGGCCAUGAUGGGUGGGAGGUCAGACACACUUCACUAUACCCUACCUCCCUUUUAUGGUUUAGACACAACAACUGAUCAGGAUUGUUAAAACAGAGAUCAUAAAACUGACAGAACAGACUCUUCAUGGCCAAAAAAUACCAAAUUAUACACAGGACCUAGGGCCAUGCCAGGCAAAGAUUAAGUCGUGCACUCCAACACUUAAAGAAUAAAUAAUGUUCUAGUACUUCCAGUCCAGGCCAGAGGAAUUAGGCAAGAGAAAAAACAAUAAAGGGCAAGAGUAAGUCAAACUAUCCUUUUUUGCAGAUAACAUGAUUCUAUAUCUAAAAAACCAUAGUCUCAGCCCCAAAGCUCUAUCAGCUGAUAAACAACUUCAGCAAAGUUUUAGGAUACAAAAUCAAUGUACAAAAAUAAGUAGUAUUCCUAUACACUAACAACUGCCAACCGGAGCGCCAAAACAGGAAUUCAAUCCCAUUCACAACUGCCAAUAAAAGAAUAAAAUACCCAGGAAUACAGCUAACCAGGAAGGUGAAAGAUUUCUACAUUGAGGGUUAUAGAACACUUCUCAAAGAAAUCUGAGAUGACACAAACAAAUUGAAAAACAUUUCACGCUCAUGGAUAAGAAGAAUUAAUUUCACUAAAAUGUCCAUACUGCCCAAAGCAAUUUACAGAUUCAAUGCUAUUCCUAUCAAAUUACCAUUGACAUUCUUCACAGAACUAGAAAAAUCUACUCUAAAAUUAAUAUGGAAUCAAAAAAGAGCCCGAAUAGCCAAGACAAUCCUAAGCAAAAGGAAUAAAGCUGGAGGCAUCAUGUUACCUGACUGCAAACAUACUACAGGGCUACAGUAACCAAAGCAGCAUGGCAUUGGUACAAAAACAGAUACACAGACCAGUGGAACAGAAUAGAUAGCUCAGAAAUAAGGCCGUACACCUACAACCAUCUGAUCUUUGGCAAAGCUGACAGAAGCAAGCAAUGGGGAAAGGACUCCCUUUUCAAUAAAUGGUGCUAGGAGAACUGGCUACCCAUACGAACAAGAUUGAAACUAGACCUCUUCCUUAUACCAUAUACAAAAAUCAACUCAAGCUGGAUUAAAGACUUAAAUGUAAAACCCAAAACUAUAAAAAUCCUGACGACAACUUAGGCAAUACCAUCUGGACAUAGGAACGGUCAAAGAUUUCAUAACAAAGAUGCCAAAAGCAAUCAUAACAAAAGCAAAAAUUGAAAAAUGGAAUCUAAUUAAACGUAAGAGCUUCUGUACAGCAAAAGAAACUAUCAACAGAGUAAACAGACAAUCUAUAGAAUAAAAGAAAAUUUUGCAAACUAUGCAUCUGACAAAUGUCUAAUAUCCAGCAUCUAUAAGGAACUUAAACAAAUUUACAAGAAAAAAACAAACAACCUUGUUGAAAAGCGGGCAAAGAAUGUGAACAGAUGUUUUUCAAAGAAGACAUAUGUGUGGCCAAAAAGCACAUGAGUAAAAGCUCAAUAGGACUGAUCAUGAGAAAAAUGCAAAUCAAAACCACAAUGAGAUAUAUCUCACACCAGUCAGAAUGGCUAUUAUUUUAUUU
This 7725-nucleotide long non-coding RNA is filed under the name Homo sapiens (human). RNAcentral's name for it is "non-protein coding lnc-AIM2-3:2". Lineage: Eukaryota; Metazoa; Chordata; Mammalia; Primates; Hominidae. The record is from RNAcentral.